GAUGAACGCUGGCGGCGUGCCUAAUACAUGCAAGUCGAGCGAACAGAUGAGGAGCUUGCUCCUCUGACGUUAGCGGCGGACGUGUGAGUAACACGUGGAUAACCUACCUAUAAGACUGGGAUAACUUCGGGAAACCGGAGCUAAUACCGGAUAAUAUAUUGAACCGCAUGGUUCAAUAGUGAAAGACGGUUUUGCUGUCACUUAUAGACGGAUCCGCGCCGCAUUAGCUAGUUGGUAAGGUAACGGCUUACCACGGCGGCGAUGCGUAGCCGACCUGAGAGGGUGGUCGGCCACGCUGGAACUGAGACACGGUCCAGACUCCGACGGGAGGCAGCAGUAGGGAAUCUUCCGCAAUGGGGGAAAGCCUGACGGAGCAACGCCGCGUGAGUGAUGAAGGUCUUCGGAUCGUAAAACUCUGUUAUUAGGGAAGAACAAAUGUGUAAGUAACUAUGCACGUCUUGACGGUACCUAAUCAGAAAGCCACGGCUAACUACGUG
RNAcentral lists this ribosomal RNA (497 nucleotides) under uncultured bacterium. RNAcentral's name for it is "partial 16S ribosomal RNA". It matches the Rfam family "Bacterial small subunit ribosomal RNA", at positions 28 to 507 of the family's 1533-position model. The record is from RNAcentral.